Rhincodon typus (whale shark) is the source of this 721-nucleotide long non-coding RNA. RefSeq lists it as uncharacterized. The transcript has 3 exons. The record is from RefSeq and is a predicted model, not a curated record. NCBI's taxonomy places the organism in Eukaryota, Metazoa, Chordata, Chondrichthyes, Orectolobiformes, Rhincodontidae.
GAACUUUUAUUUUAACCCACCCCUCCUCCCUCUACUCUCAAUCCCCCCUCACGAACUAACCCCGAGUCCCCUUCAGCUGUAAGACUUACCGAGCAGCAGUAACUUGAGUUCUCGCCGUGCAUCCCGCUUGUCUCUCCGGAGCUGCCUCUCGAUCUCCGCGUUGAUCCUUUUGGCUUCUUUCGCCUCUUCGCUCAGGCAGCACGCCAUGAUGGAGUCGAGAGUCAUGUAGCCGACUGUUUCCUUGGGCUUGACUCUUCGUUCGAAACCAUUGUAAUUACACAAUUACAUGACGUUAUUGGCAAGCCGGUCUCCUGAAUGCUCAUGGUCACAGCACUGAAACAGGAAAGAGCCAUAAACCCAAUAGAAUUUUUUAAAAUGAAUCAAAUGCAAUGAGCAUCAACAUCUGUGAAUAAUGCAAAUCAACAACAGGCUGAAACAGCUAAACAACAACCCAUUGCAGUCAAACAGAGAUGGAAAGAGAGAGGACAUGUUUCCCACAUCCUACAUAGCCAUAAUAUAUUGUCUCCCAUCUUUGCCACAUACUCUGUGGUGGAUUGAAUUGUUUCAAUUCUAUAUAUAAAUCAAGAGUAAAUGUUUGCAGUCACUUUUCCACUUUAACCAUCAUCUGCUGAUGGUUGCUUGGCACAGCCUGUAAUCAAUGUAAUUAUCUUUCAUUCUUUACAAAGUAGAGGCCAUUAAACUCAUAUCAGUUGUACUGUGA